AUUGAACGCUGGCGGCAUGCCUUACACAUGCAAGUCGAACGGUAACGCGGGGCAACCUGGCGACGAGUGGCGAACGGGUGAGUAACGCAUCGGAACGUGCCCAGUCGUGGGGGAUAGCCCGGCGAAAGCCGGAUUAAUACCGCAUACGACCUACGGGUGAAAGCGGGGGAUCGCAAGCCCUCGCACUAUUGGAGCGGCCGAUGUCAGAUUAGGUAGUUGGUGGGGUAAAAGCCUACCAAGCCGACGAUCGGUAGCUGGGCUGAGAGGACGACCAGCCACACUGGGACUGAGACACGGCCCAGACGCCUACGGGAGGCAGCAGUGGGGAAUUUUGGACAAUGGGCGCAAGCCUGAUCCAGCCAUGCCGCGUGCGGGAAGAAGGCCUUCGGGUUGUAAACCGCUUUUGUCAGGGAAGAAACGCUCUGGGCUAAUACCCCGGGGUAAUGACGGUACCUGAAGAAUAAGCACCGGCUAACUACGUGCCAGCCGCCGCAGUAA
RNAcentral lists this ribosomal RNA (498 nucleotides) under uncultured bacterium. RNAcentral's name for it is "partial 16S ribosomal RNA". It matches the Rfam family "Bacterial small subunit ribosomal RNA", at positions 29 to 523 of the family's 1533-position model. The record is from RNAcentral.